This 1491-nucleotide long non-coding RNA is filed under the name Olea europaea subsp. europaea. Lineage: Eukaryota; Viridiplantae; Streptophyta; Magnoliopsida; Lamiales; Oleaceae. The record is from RNAcentral.
CUGUACUUAAACUAAGCCGUAGUUACGUUUGCAAUUUUUUUAGGAUCCAUCAAUUUUUGGGUGUGUUCGACAUCAGUGAAAAAUUUAUGUCCACUCUCUCUCAGUUUGAUGUAUUGUAUGAAAAUAAUCUAAUCACGACUGAUUAUUUAAAUUAGUUAUUUAGAAUGUGAAUAUCAUUUUUAAUUAUUGUCAACUGGUACCCAUUCUAAACGCACUUAAACAUUCGCUAUGAAUUUUCUCUACUAGUAUAUUUCUGUGAUUUUCUUGUAUAUUUGAAAUUGCUUAUUUGUUAUGACUUCUCUCCAAGAUUUUGAGCCUUGAAGCGUGGCUGAAUACAUACAUUAGUGCCUGAAUUGUGAGUUCAUAAAUCUGCAAGUUGACAUGGGCAAUCAAACGAAACCAGACCUAUAGAUUUCUUAAAGAGGCAAAUAUAUCGUCACUGCUAUUUUCAUGCAUCAUUGAAUCAUUUGCGAGAUUAGAUGCAACAUAUAUUCUAUAGUUAGCACUUUCAUCGUAAUUUUCUUUUCCCACUUUUGCACAGGAACCUGUGGCAGGAUCUUGCAAGAGAAAGGAGAGAGAAUCUACCUUUUUCAAUAGAGAUUUCUCGUCCAAAAUGGUCGUGCUUUGGGUGUCACUAAGUAAAUCUUGUUUAAUGUUUUACAUUACAUCCCAAAACUCUGAUGUCUUGUCUGAAGGCCCAAAUCCAGUAGUUUGUUCUGAAAUAUAGUUUCCAAUGUUGUUUUCUAGAUCAGAAAUCCACAUAGAUGGAUGGAGAUCUUGAACCUUCAGUUGUUCCCAGCUUCUUUGCUCCAAAAUAACCAUGCUCCUCACAAUUUCCAUCCGUUCAAUUGCAACAAUAGCCAUCACUAGUAACAGUAGAUAAUGCAAUUAUCAAAUUUUGGUUGAAAAUGAGUUCAAAAUUACGACUACAGCUAAAUAAUUUGCAAGAUCAACAUUCAGCAAUGCAUCCUAUAUGGAGAAAAGUUGAUAAGUAAAUUGUUGUAUUCACAAUGAAGAUGAAUGAUAUUGGACCAGAGCUAGAGGACAAGGUUUCUUCAGGCACGUGUUCAGCAGUCAGAUGAUUAAGAUUUUGUCCGAAACUUAAAGGAGGUGAUUGUGUGACUGCUGUUAAUUCUACAUCCUGGAAGCUAGAGGGAGAAUAUCCUUGAGUGACAGCCACUCGAUCAAAUUCACGACCUCUGGAUUCUUUUGGAUUUUCAAAAGUAGAAGCAUGUUCUGGUGAAUCUAUAACUAUCUCGAGUUGUUGGCUCAAAUUAUAAACAAGCCUGUCACGCUGGAUCAAUUUUUCAUAGUUAUUGUUCAACACGUCUGGAGAAUAUUGUAGAAAAUGCUUCCUAUUUAAACAACAUCAAAGGUUCGGUCACUCGAAAACCAAGAUAAAAGUUUUCAGGAUCUCAAAAUUAUUCAGUCAAGUAAUUAUGGUCAAAACCCAAAGGUUAUAUGAAAUUUCCAUUGAAUGAAAAACAUAUC